Molecule: transfer RNA, 73 nt
Filed under: Camelus bactrianus (Bactrian camel)
Lineage: Eukaryota; Metazoa; Chordata; Mammalia; Artiodactyla; Camelidae
Also listed under: 2 other names
Rfam family: tRNA
About the family: Transfer RNA (tRNA) molecules are approximately 80 nucleotides in length.
Source: Rfam by way of RNAcentral
GAGAGUAUAGCUUCAGUGGUAGAGUGUGUGCUUAGCAUACACGAGGUCCUGGGUUCAAUCCCCAGUACUUCCA